This 1332-nucleotide long non-coding RNA is filed under the name Camelus dromedarius (Arabian camel). Its description in RNAcentral is "lncRNA (ENSCDRG00005010630.1)". The record is from RNAcentral. Lineage: Eukaryota; Metazoa; Chordata; Mammalia; Artiodactyla; Camelidae.
AUCCCAAAUUUGGCGUCUCUUCCCAGAGUCCGGGGCUAGGAGGAUCCCCACUACCCACUACUCACUGUCACCCGGAGGCCUGCAGCCAGCCGGGCACCCCUGGUGACUCACUGCUCCACUCCGGAUCCGGGGUCGCGCCCAAGAGGUCACCUUCCCCUCUAUCAGCCCCGCCCCUCGCCCACUGCGUCCUGGGCCGCGGAAGGUACCGACCACCAGGAGGCGGGAGGGGGAGGGAGGAGGUGGAAAAGAAAGGAGGAGGCGGGAGAGAGAGGAUUCAUUAAUAAAGUUGCCCCUGGGCAAACCGCAAACCGAAUUGAUCUCGGUGGGUGAAGCCCCGCGCCCCAGCGGUAGCACUGUGGCCUGUUCCGAGGAGAUCCCUGCGCCUGGACUUUGCCUGCUAGGGGAGUUUUUUGAACAGCCCCGCAGCCCGGCGCCCGGCGGAGGUGCAGCGGCUGCGGCGCGCCCCCGCCCCCUACCCUUGCACGUGACUCCCUCCGGCCAGUCAGCGCCCGCGAGCGGGAGCUCAGGGGCCAGGGGAUCCGCGCGGUGAGCUGGGGGACUCCGAGGCGGCCGGCCGGGAGGCUGCGAGAGGCGCCGCCGCCGCCGAAGCUCCCGCCGCGCCGGGGAAACGCGCGCCGGCCUCCAGGAAGCUCUAGCCCCGGCAGGACCUACCGCGGCUGCAUCACGGAGGAAGGGAGCCAGCCCGGCCCUCGGCCUUGGAGUCAGCCUGCCGCGCCCUGCGCCCCAGGCCGAGGUGUCCUGAAGACACGGAGCCCCAGGCCCCGGCCCAGGCGCGCCCCCUCGUCUUCGGGACCGUCAGGCCCUGCAGUGGAUUUGGCCCCUCCUCCACCACCUCUGGGAACAACCACAAAUUCUAUUUGGGAUUUUCCUGAGUAAACCAGAGCAGAGCCUAGAGUCUUUUGCUCAGUGCUGGAUUUAAUCAGUGUAUGUUUUUGAAGGAUUUGGCUUUUUUUUAACCUUUGACUUUUGAUCUUCGUUUUUUGUGACAGCCCCUCACUCUACAUUAUUGGUAUUUUCAUUUUUGUAUUGUUGUUACUGCCUCUCCCCGCAUUGCUUCUUGGCCCGAGGACUCGGAAGCUGCGAGCGCGCGGGGCGAUGUACCAGAGCCUGGCCAUGGCCGCCAACCACGGCCCCCCUCCCGGGCCCUACGAGGCGGGCGGCCCGGGCGCCUUCAUGCACGGCGCAGGCGCCGCGUCCUCGCCGGUCUACGUGCCCACGCCGCGUGUGCCGUCCUCAGUGCUCGGCCUGUCCUACCUCCAGGGAGGAGAGGCGGGGGCGACGGUCCGGAGCAGCCUCGGGGGGCACGGAGGG